Molecule: unclassified non-coding RNA, 307 nt
Filed under: plant metagenome
Description: partial contains 5.8S ribosomal RNA, internal transcribed spacer 2, and large subunit ribosomal RNA
Rfam family: 5.8S ribosomal RNA (bases 1-105)
Source: RNAcentral
GAAAUGCGAUAAGUAAUGUGAAUUGCAGAAUUCAGUGAAUCAUCGAGUCUUUGAACGCACAUUGCGCCCGCCAGCACUCUGGCGGGCAUGCCUGUUCGAGCGUCAUUUCAACCCUCAGAACCCCUUGCGGGAUCUGGCGUUGGGGAUUGGCAUCCAGCCAGCCCCGAAAUCUAGUGGCGGUCCCUCCGCGACCUCCCCUGUGCAGUAGCGAUACCUCGCAGCUGGACAGCGGUCUGACCACGCCGUAAAACCCCCAACUUCUCAAGGUUGACCUCGAAUCAGGUAGGAAUACCCGCUGAACUUAAGC